AUUUUGUUGGUUUCUAGGACCGCCGUAAUGAUUAAUAGGGAUAGUUGGGGGCAUUAGUAUUCGAUUGUCAGAGGUGAAAUUCUUGGAUUUAUCGAAGACUAACUACUGCGAAAGCAUUUGCCAAGGAUGUUUUCAUUAAUCAAGAACGAAAGUUAGGGGAUCGAAGACGAUUAGAUACCGUCGUAGUCUUAACCAUAAACUAUGCCGACUAGGGAUCGGGCGCGGUUUCAAACGACUCGCUCGGCACCUUAAGAGAAAUCAAAGUUUUUGGGUUCUGGGGGGAGUAUGGUCGCAAGGCUGAAACUUAAAGGAAUUGACGGAAGGGCACCACCAGGAGUGGAGCCUGCGGCUUAAUUUGACUCAACACGGGGAAACUCACCAGGUCCAGACACAGUAAGGAUUGACAGAUUGAGAGCUCUUUCUUGAUUCUGUGAUUGGUGGUGCAUGGCCGUUCUUAGUUGGUGGAGUGAUUUGUCUGCCUAAUCGCGAUAACGAACGAGACCCUUACCUGCUAAAUAGUCGACUCGGCCUCGGCCGGGACCUCGUUAGGUCAUGACUUCUUAGAGGGACUGGAGGCUCCAAGCCUCAGGAAGCCGGGGGCAAUAACAGGUCUGUGAUGCCCUUAGAUGUUCUGGGCCGCACGCGCGCUACACUGAUAAAGUCAGCGAGUCUUAUUCAUAGAAUAGUCCUUGGCCGGAAGGCCUGGGCAAUCUUGUUAACUUUUAUCGUGCUGGGGAUAGCGCAU
RNAcentral lists this ribosomal RNA (745 nucleotides) under uncultured Ascomycota. RNAcentral describes it as "SSU rRNA". It matches the Rfam family "Eukaryotic small subunit ribosomal RNA", at positions 838 to 1584 of the family's 1831-position model. The record is from RNAcentral. Lineage: Eukaryota; Fungi; Ascomycota.